GGGUAGUUUGACUGGGGCGGUCUCCUCCUAAAGAGUAACGGAGGAGUACGAAGGUGCGCUCAGCGUGGUCGGAAAUCACGCGUAGAGUAUAAAGGCAAAAGCGCGCUUAACUGCGAGACCCACAAGUCGAGCAGGUACGAAAGUAGGUCUUAGUGAUCCGGUGGUUCUGUAUGGAAGGGCCAUCGCUCAACGGAUAAAAGGUACUCUGGGGAUAACAGGCUGAUACCGCCCAAGAGUUCAUAUCGACGGCGGUGUUUGGCACCUCGAUGUCGGCUCAUCUCAUCCUGGGGCUGAAGCAGGUCCCAAGGGUAUGGCUGUUCGCCAUUUAAAGAGGUACGCGAGCUGGGUUUAGAACGUCGUGAGACAGUUCGGUCCCUAUCUACCGUGGGCGCUGGAAAUUUGAGAGGAUCUGCUCCUAGUACGAGAGGACCAGAGUGGACGAACCUCUGGUGUACCGGUUGUGACGCCAGUCGCAUCGCCGGGUAGCUAUGUUCGGAAGGGAUAACCGCUGAAAGCAUCUAAGCGGGAAGCCUACCUCAAGAUAAGAUUUCCCUAGGACUUUAUGUCCUCUAAAGAGCCGUUCGAGACUAGGACGUUGAUAGGUUGGAUGUGGAAGCAUAGUGAUAUGUGAAGCUGACCAAUACUAAUUGCUCGUGAGGCUUGACUAU
Molecule: ribosomal RNA, 668 nt
Filed under: Acinetobacter baumannii
Lineage: Bacteria; Pseudomonadati; Pseudomonadota; Gammaproteobacteria; Moraxellales; Moraxellaceae
Description: partial 23S ribosomal RNA
Rfam family: Bacterial large subunit ribosomal RNA
Source: RNAcentral